UCUCUUUUAUGAUUCAUAAGCAAGAUGACAUCAUUUUCAUGCACCUGUGUGACAGGUGCCUCCAUCAAAUCCUGCUAUGAUAUUAGCAUAUUACCCACCUAAUG
Molecule: small nucleolar RNA, 104 nt
Organism: Sorex araneus (European shrew)
Lineage: Eukaryota; Metazoa; Chordata; Mammalia; Eulipotyphla; Soricidae
Product: small nucleolar RNA U13
Exons: 1
Source: RefSeq, a predicted model, not a curated record